Pimephales promelas (fathead minnow) is the source of this 479-nucleotide long non-coding RNA. RefSeq lists it as uncharacterized. The record is from RefSeq and is a predicted model, not a curated record. Lineage: Eukaryota; Metazoa; Chordata; Actinopteri; Cypriniformes; Leuciscidae.
CGAGAGAUUCGGACACCUCCUCAUCCUGAGUUAACUUGUCUUGGGAUCGAUCCUUCACGUGACGGAGAGUUCUGGGAGAAUAACAAACACGCGAUUUAAAGCUAUCCAGGGGACAAAUCUGUGCCUGUAGGAUUUCCAUCGGACCUCAAAAGCUUUAAAAAGAGCUUUAAUCAUAUUUCUUGUUUACAUCAGAGUACAUGUGCAGUAGCUUUCAAGCAGCUUUAGCUCGUCUCGUGUUGCUGCACUAGUGAGGUCCGAAUCGAUUCACCAAUGAGUCGUUCAUUGAUGAUUCAGUUGAACCGAUUCACAAAGCGCCUGUAAAUUGCUAGACUCUUAUGGAGUCUGGAGAACACUUCAUUCAUACAUAAUCAGUAUCAAGUAUUUAAGAAUAUGGCGAUAAGCCGUGGUAUUUCUUCUCUGAAAUAAGAAAAAUACUACCCCGGCCCCGGGACUUCUCUGAAAUGGUUCACUGAAACGAA